CAGCAGCCGCGGUAAUACCGAGGGUGCAAGCGUUAAUCGGAAUUACUGGGCGUAAAGCGCGCGUAGGUGGUUUGUUAAGUUGGAUGUGAAAGCCCCGGGCUCAACCUGGGAACUGCAUCCAAAACUGGCAAGCUAGAGUACGGUAGAGGGUGGUGGAAUUUCCUGUGUAGCGGUGAAAUGCGUAGAUAUAGGAAGGAACACCAGUGGCGAAGGCGACCACCUGGACUGAUACUGACACUGAGGUGCGAAAGCGUGGGGAGCAAACAGGAUUAGAUACCCGAGUAGUCCCUGUCUCUUAUAC
Molecule: ribosomal RNA, 301 nt
Filed under: uncultured bacterium
Lineage: Bacteria
Description: partial 16S ribosomal RNA
Rfam family: Bacterial small subunit ribosomal RNA
Source: RNAcentral